RNAcentral lists this ribosomal RNA (780 nucleotides) under Staphylococcus epidermidis. RNAcentral's name for it is "bacterial SSU rRNA". It matches the Rfam family "Bacterial small subunit ribosomal RNA", at positions 74 to 838 of the family's 1533-position model. The record is from RNAcentral. Lineage: Bacteria; Bacillati; Bacillota; Bacilli; Caryophanales; Staphylococcaceae.
AGGAGCUUGCUCCUCUGACGUUAGCGGCGGACGGGUGAGUAACACGUGGAUAACCUACCUAUAAGACUGGGAUAACUUCGGGAAACCGGAGCUAAUACCGGAUAAUAUAUUGAACCGCAUGGUUCAAUAGUGAAAGACGGUUUUGCUGUCACUUAUAGAUGGAUCCGCGCCGCAUUAGCUAGUUGGUAAGGUAACGGCUUACCAAGGCAACGAUGCGUAGCCGACCUGAGAGGGUGAUCGGCCACACUGGAACUGAGACACGGUCCAGACUCCUACGGGAGGCAGCAGUAGGGAAUCUUCCGCAAUGGGCGAAAGCCUGACGGAGCAACGCCGCGUGAGUGAUGAAGGUCUUCGGAUCGUAAAACUCUGUUAUUAGGGAAGAACAAAUGUGUAAGUAACUAUGCACGUCUUGACGGUACCUAAUCAGAAAGCCACGGCUAACUACGUGCCAGCAGCCGCGGUAAUACGUAGGUGGCAAGCGUUAUCCGGAAUUAUUGGGCGUAAAGCGCGCGUAGGCGGUUUUUUAAGUCUGAUGUGAAAGCCCACGGCUCAACCGUGGAGGGUCAUUGGAAACUGGAAAACUUGAGUGCAGAAGAGGAAAGUGGAAUUCCAUGUGUAGCGGUGAAAUGCGCAGAGAUAUGGAGGAACACCAGUGGCGAAGGCGACUUUCUGGUCUGUAACUGACGCUGAUGUGCGAAAGCGUGGGGAUCAAACAGGAUUAGAUACCCUGGUAGUCCACGCCGUAAACGAUGAGUGCUAAGUGUUAGGGGGUUUCCGCCC